AGAGUUUGAUCCUGGCUCAGAUUGAACGCUGGCGGCAGGCCUAACACAUGCAAGUCGAGCGGUAGCACAGAGAGCUUGCUCUCGGGUGACGAGCGGCGGACGGGUGAGUAAUGUCUGGGAAACUGCCUGAUGGAGGGGGAUAACUACUGGAAACGGUAGCUAAUACCGCAUAACGUCGCAAGACCAAAGUGGGGGACCUUCGGGCCUCAUGCCAUCAGAUGUGCCCAGAUGGGAUUAGCUGGUAGGUGGGGUAACGGCUCACCUAGGCGACGAUCCCUAGCUGGUCUGAGAGGAUGACCAGCCACACUGGAACUGAGACACGGUCCAGACUCCUACGGGAGGCAGCAGUGGGGAAUAUUGCACAAUGGGCGCAAGCCUGAUGCAGCCAUGCCGCGUGUGUGAAGAAGGCCUUCGGGUUGUAAAGCACUUUCAGCGGGGAGGAAGGCGGUGAGGUUAAUAACCUCAUCGAUUGACGUUACCCGCAGAAGAAGCACCGGCUAACUCCGUGCCAGCAGCCGCGGUAAUACGGAGGGUGCAAGCGUUAAUCGGAAUUACUGGGCGUAAAGCGCACGCAGGCGGUCUGUCAAGUCGGAUGUGAAAUCCCCGGGCUCAACCUGGGAACUGCAUUCAAAACUGGCAGGCUAGAGCUUUGUAAAGGGGGGUAGAAUUCCAGGUGUACCGUUGAAAUGCGUAGAGAUCUGGAGGAAUACCGGUGGCGAAGGCGGCCCCCUGGACAAAGACUGACGCUCAGGUGCGAAAGCGUGGGGAGCAAACAGGAUUAGAUACCCUGGUAGUCCACGCUGUAAACGAUGUCGAUUUGGAGGUUGUGCCCUUGAGGCGUGGCUUCCGGAGCUAACGCGUUAAAUCGACCGCCUGGGGAGUACGGCCGCAAGGUUAAAACUCAAAUGAAUUGACGGGGGCCCGCACAAGCGGUGGAGCAUGUGGUUUAAUUCGAUGCAACGCGAAGAACCUUACCUGGUCUUGACAUCCACAGAACUUUCCAGAGAUGGAUUGGUGCCUUCGGGAACUGUGAGACAGGUGCUGCAUGGCUGUCGUCAGCUCGUGUUGUGAAAUGUUGGGUUAAGUCCCGCAACGAGCGCAACCCUUAUCCUUUGUUGCCAGCGGUUAGGCCGGGAACUCAAAGGAGACUGCCAGUGAUAAACUGGAGGAAGGUGGGGAUGACGUCAAGUCAUCAUGGCCCUUACGACCAGGGCUACACACGUGCUACAAUGGCAUAUACAAAGAGAAGCGACCUCGCGAGAGCAAGCGGACCUCAUAAAGUAUGUCGUAGUCCGGAUUGGAGUCUGCAACUCGACUCCAUGAAGUCGGAAUCGCUAGUAAUCGUAGAUCAGAAUGCUACGGUGAAUACGUUCCCGGGCCUUGUACACACCGCCCGUCACACCAUGGGAGUGGGUUGCAAAAGAAGUAGGUAGCUUAACCUUCGGGAGGGCGCUUACCACUUUGUGAUUCAUGACUGGGGUGAAGUCGUAACAAGGUAACCGUA
RNAcentral lists this ribosomal RNA (1504 nucleotides) under Klebsiella sp. EN1. Its description in RNAcentral is "bacterial SSU rRNA". It matches the Rfam family "Bacterial small subunit ribosomal RNA". The record is from RNAcentral. Lineage: Bacteria; Pseudomonadati; Pseudomonadota; Gammaproteobacteria; Enterobacterales; Enterobacteriaceae.